GACGAACGCUGGCGGCGUGCUUAACACAUGCAAGUCGAACGGAAAGGCCCUGCUUUUGUGGGGUGCUCGAGUGGCGAACGGGUGAGUAACACGUGAGUAACCUGCCCUUGACUUUGGGAUAACUUCAGGAAACUGGGGCUAAUACCGCAUAGGAGCUCCUGCUCCAUGUUGGGGGUUGGAAAGUUUCGGCGGUUGGGGAUGGACUCGCAGCUUAUCAGCUUGUUGGGGGGGUAGUGGCUUACCAAGGCUUUGACGGGUAGCCGGCCUGAGAGGGUGACCGGCCACAUUGGGACUGCGAUACGGCCCAGACUGCUACGGGAGGCAGCAGUGGGGAAUAUUGCACAAUGGGCGGAAGCCUGAUGUAGAAACGCCGCGUGCGGGAUGCCGGCCUACGGGUUGUAAACCGCUUUCGCAUGUGACGAAGCGUGAGUGACGGUAAUGGGUAAAGAAGCACCGGCUAACUACGUG
RNAcentral lists this ribosomal RNA (468 nucleotides) under uncultured bacterium. Its description in RNAcentral is "partial 16S ribosomal RNA". It matches the Rfam family "Bacterial small subunit ribosomal RNA", at positions 28 to 507 of the family's 1533-position model. The record is from RNAcentral.